UUUUGAUUUAAUCGGUGCGUGUCUAUGAUUUCAGUGUAUUGAAAGUUUCAAAAGUUCUUAUCAAAUUAAACCAAACACGAAUUAAUGUAGUGCCUAAUGUCAUGUGUAAUAAUAUCAUGUGAAAGAUAUAAAGCAAAACAUAAAAAGCAUAACAA
This is a long non-coding RNA of Drosophila innubila, 155 nucleotides long. RefSeq lists it as uncharacterized. The transcript has 2 exons. The record is from RefSeq and is a predicted model, not a curated record. NCBI's taxonomy places the organism in Eukaryota, Metazoa, Arthropoda, Insecta, Diptera, Drosophilidae.